This 337-nucleotide ribosomal RNA is filed under the name uncultured bacterium. RNAcentral describes it as "bacterial SSU rRNA". It matches the Rfam family "Bacterial small subunit ribosomal RNA", at positions 8 to 347 of the family's 1533-position model. The record is from RNAcentral.
AGAGUUUGAUCCUGGCUCAGGAUGAACGCUGGCGGCGUGCUUAAUACAUGCAAGUCGAACGGAGUAUGUAGCAAUACGUACUUAGUGGCGAACGGGUGAGUAACGCGUUGGUGACCUGCCUCGAAGCGUGGGAUAACAGUCCGAAAGGAUUGCUAAUACCUCAUGUGAUUGUAGGGUUUAGAAGCCUACAAUUAAAGGAUUUAUUCACUUCGAGAGGGACCUGCGUACCAUCAGCUAGUUGGUGAGGUAAUGGCCCACCAAGGCGAUGACGGUUAGGGGACCUGAGAGGGUGGCCCCCCACAAUGGAACUGAAACACGGUCCAUACACCUACGGGUG